Molecule: long non-coding RNA, 1870 nt
Filed under: Volvox carteri
Lineage: Eukaryota; Viridiplantae; Chlorophyta; Chlorophyceae; Chlamydomonadales; Volvocaceae
Description: long non-coding RNA (VCAR_LNC000031)
Source: RNAcentral
CUGUUCGUAAGCCGAUUACAGGGGAGGGUAGGAAUAGCCGAAGACCGGGUCAUCAGUCACCUACAACUUGGGCGCCUACAUUUUCCUGUCGAAGUACAGAAGCCGUACAGAACAGGUCGUACAAAGCCCGCCGUCCACAUUGGCAAAGCUCGCCACCGACUACAUUCAUCAGCAGGUGCCCUGCAAUCUGCCAUUAAGCCACCCCAAAGGUGUCUCUGUUUUACGGACGAAAUAUGUAGAAGUCCCGAAGAAGGGAACAGACAAACAUACGGGUGAAUAUCAUCAAUCAAGGCUUUCCUUACACAUUAACAUGUUUACAUUUACAUGACUGAUCGACAUCAAAGACUUACUAGCAUGGAUUCGUGGCCUUUUCAUCUUACGACGGGAUUGGCAACCACCAUGCGCCCUCUCAUACUCAAACACAUUUCUACCACCAUCCCCUCAGCAGCAUCCACAUGAAAAUGUUUGCGUGGAUGGUUCGGUUGCGGCCCUACCUAAUUCUGAAGCCUGGAGCUCAUUACCAAGAGCCAACUGUGCCUUCCUACACUUCGAAAACCCAGCUAAACCUAGUCCGCCAAAGCACGAGCGACGGCUCGCCAGAGUUCACUUAGUCGUGUGUGCGACAGUGGUGGCGAGCCUCUUCUCUUUGCCAUGCUGAAAUGCAAUAGUGUGUAAUUUUCUCUUCGUGGUGGAAUGCUGACGUUGACAAUUAGUAGAUAGACAUGAGGCCAGCGACUUGCUUUGGUGAGCCAGCACUGCUGACUCGAUGCUUAGCGUUGACAACCUCGUUUGAAAGGAAAGGCCUGGUAGCCCUCCACGGUAAUUGAGUACGUGCAUAGGAUGAAUGUCAAAUGGAUGAGAUCUUAAACUUGUAAUGAUGCAUGAAACAGCUGGGCCAAAUCGCCGCACCCUACGUAUUCUGAGGCGGCACAAAGGCUGGAAAUUAAAACCACAAAACCGCACAAAACCGAUCUCGCAAAACCGCACAAACCGAACACAUGUAGACGAGGGACUUACGACACAGAGGACAUCAUGAAGAAACGCAAAGCAUUAUCCCGUAUCUUUAAACUUCAGAACCAGCUUUAUCCUCAGCACGUUCCGUUGUGGCCUUCGUUACCUGCGAUAGUCCGACUGCUCACUCGUUACGUGAAACGGACGGGCGGUAAGUCGGCGUGCAUUUACGUAUGCUUCCGGAAUCGAAGUUGACUGUAAAUUCGACAGACUUGUUGACGGCUGGCAGCAAAGCUUUACUUUGGAGGCGGUNNNNNNNNNNNNNNNNNNNNNNNNNNNNNNNNNNNNNNNNNNNNNNNNNNGGUGGGGGAGGAGACGGAGGUGGCCUGGGCGGCGGUGGGCUUGGGGGAGGCGAUAACUUUGGCGGUGGUGUCCUCGGAGGAGGAGGCGGCGGCGGUGGCCUAGGUGGAGUCGGGUUUGGGGGCGGAGGAGGCGUAGGUGGCCUGGGCGGCGGUGGUCUUGGAGGAGGCGGUGACUUGGGUGGCGGUGGACUUGGAGGAGGCGGCGGUGGCGGCGGGCUUGGAGGAGGCGGUGACUUGGGGGGCGGUGGGCUUGGAGGAGGCGGCGGUGGCGGCGGGCUUGGAGGAGGCGGUGACUUGGGGGGCGGUGGGCUUGGAGGAGGCGGCGGUGGCGGCGGGCUUGGAGGCGGCGGUGACUUGGGGGGCGGUGGGCUUGGAGGGCGGCGGUGGCGGCGGGCUUGGAGGCGGCGGACUGGGGGGCGGUGGGCUUGGAGGCGGUGGGGGCGGUGGGCUUGGAGGAGGAGGCGGGUUAAAAGAUUGAGGUGGUAGGGGCUCCAAAACGAAGCCGCAGUUCUCCACCGCGAACUUUGUCACCCAGUUAUCAUCAUCAAAAUCCUUAU